Molecule: microRNA precursor, 69 nt
Filed under: Bombyx mori (domestic silkworm)
Lineage: Eukaryota; Metazoa; Arthropoda; Insecta; Lepidoptera; Bombycidae
Description: mir-2774 microRNA precursor family
Rfam family: mir-2774 microRNA precursor family
Source: Rfam by way of RNAcentral
ACAAUAUUCGGACUGUGUCGGUCUACCGAGCAAUAUCACCCGCUCAGUGGAAGAUCUUUCCUUCGUCGU